This 481-nucleotide ribosomal RNA is filed under the name uncultured bacterium. Its description in RNAcentral is "bacterial SSU rRNA". It matches the Rfam family "Bacterial small subunit ribosomal RNA", at positions 30 to 507 of the family's 1533-position model. The record is from RNAcentral.
UGAACGCUGGCGGCAUGCCUAACACAUGCAAGUCGAACGAAGCGGUGUGGAUUGAGACUUCGGUUGAUUGAAACACUGACUUAGUGGCGGACGGGUGAGUAACGUGUGGGCAACCUGCCCUGUACUGUGGAAUAAUCACUGGAAACGGUGACUAAUACCGCAUGUCAUCACCGGAGGGCAUCCUCUGGGUGAAAAAAAGGAUUUAUUCGGUACAGGAUGGGCCCGCAUCUGAUUAGCUAGUUGGUGAGAUAACAGCCCACCAAGGCGACGAUCAGUAGCCGACCUGAGAGGGUGAUCGGCCACAUUGGGACUGAGACACGGCCCAAACUCCUACGGGAGGCAGCAGUGGGGAAUAUUGCACAAUGGGGGAAACCCUGAUGCAGCAACGCCGCGUGAGUGAUGACGGCCUUCGGGUUGUAAAGCUCUGUCUUCAGGGACGAUAAUGACGGUACCUGAGGAGGAAGCCACGGCUAACUACGUG